UGACAGUCAUGCAUGCCCAUCCUGAUCCUGUCGACUGAAUGAACCUGAACCGGAUUCAGCUAGUUCCUGACGACGCCCAUCCUCCAUCUCCGCCUCCCAGUUGUUCAAAGCGGCGGUCACUUUCCAUCCGCCGCAGCUGAGUCUUAUCUCACCCAAAAGAAUGGUUGGCGUCAACCGCCGGCCAUCCUCAGAUCAGGUCGUUCUGAAGCUGAGCUCAAGAUAAGGCGCCGGUCCUUUCGGAUUGGCCGGCCACGAUCCAUUCAGAUUCAGUUUUGCAGAAACAAUACUUGUGCUGAAUCAGAACCCCGACUUCAUCAUCUCUAUCUCUGUUGGGGGCGCUACCUUCGGAUCGCGCCGAAGGGACUGAUGACGAAGGGCGACGGCGACCCUCCACGGCUUCGUGAACAAAUCAAUGGUCUUUGAUCGGAGCCGAAGAGUCACGGAGACAAAGACCUCCCGAAGGAUCAUGGAGCGAAGCUAACCUGCGACCAAGCGGGGGAAGGUCAAAAAGUCUAGGGGUGGAAGAAAUGAGCAAGUCGAGCUGGACCCGAUGGCCGUGAUGAGUUGUAAAGGAGGCUUAGAUAUAAAAUUACUGUUUGCCUUUAGAAUAUUCUUGGAAUAUGGUUGUUGGGAGCAAAAGGUGUAAUUACGUUCGAAGGUAGGUGAACUGUCUCUAUAACCACCCUGUAACUGAUGGGACGGGUAAAAUUAUUUGGUAUGGACCGAAGGCGUCUCUUUCUUCUGUUGUGCCUUCGGGGUUCGUUCCACGAGCUGUUGGGAUGCCUUUUCGUCCCUAAGGAUACCCUCCACCAACAUUUUUGGCGCCCACCAUGGUUUGGCCUAGCAUACCGCAUGGCACCGAAAAAAAGAGUUCCAGCGCUUCGGCAAGGCAGACGGAGGAUACUCAAGCCCUCGUCCUCGUGCCGGAGCGAAAUCAGACAGGCAAUGAAGAUGUGGAAGUUGAAGAUGUUGCGGAUGGACAGUUCGAGGUUUGACUCGAGCAAAUGGGAGUGCCCGCGGAGGAUACCGCAGCCUACCAAAGGAUCUAGACAAAGGUUGGCCAAAGUGAGAACGAGACUGCGUCAAGCUGCUCGAGCGGCACAACCAUCAA
Molecule: long non-coding RNA, 1111 nt
Organism: Panicum hallii
Lineage: Eukaryota; Viridiplantae; Streptophyta; Magnoliopsida; Poales; Poaceae
Exons: 2
Source: RefSeq, a predicted model, not a curated record